Molecule: unclassified non-coding RNA, 189 nt
Filed under: uncultured Helotiaceae
Lineage: Eukaryota; Fungi; Ascomycota; Leotiomycetes; Helotiales; Helotiaceae
Description: sequence contains ITS1
Source: RNAcentral
AUAUAACCCGGACUGGUACGUCUGCUGUAAAACGCAACGGAUCGGAAAGGGAAAUAUCAUAUACCCUAUGUUUAUUUUACCUUUGUUGCUUUGGCGGGCCGCUUUUUUAGGCGUCGGCCCCGGUUGAUCGCGCCCGCCAGAGGACCCAAACUCAGUUAUUUAUGUUGUCCGAGUAAUAUAUAAUAUUUA